RNAcentral lists this long non-coding RNA (778 nucleotides) under Astyanax mexicanus (Mexican tetra). Its description in RNAcentral is "lncRNA (ENSAMXG00005010030.1)". The record is from RNAcentral. Lineage: Eukaryota; Metazoa; Chordata; Actinopteri; Characiformes; Acestrorhamphidae.
GGACGCCCAAUUUGACUUCACUGUUGUGAGUAGACAUAGAUGACAAGAUGUGUGUGUGUUGCUUAUAAAAAAAAAUAUUAAUGCAAGUUAUUAUGUUUAGCAUGACAUGUUGAUGCUACGCAAGUGGUGGUGCGUAAUGUUAAUGGAGACAUUUGAGGUAGAAGGGUAAGAUCACAUCUUUAUACUUAAUUUAUAAUUUUUGCUAACAAUGUACUUAAUUAUUGGCAACCAAUAUGAAUCUUUUUUUAAGCUACGGGAAGAGAUUUGCCCACUGGACGGACAAUGCAAAAGCCCUUCUGAAUGGACAGUUACAACCCAUCUUCCGUGUUGGAGAACAUGUGUACAGCCAGGAACUUCCACCACCAGUACAGAGGGAACAAGAAAGAAAAUAUACACACCACCACUGUCUUGCGCAAGACAUUAACGCCUGUGUUUACCAAAGGAUACGAAACAAGUAAUAAAACAAUCAUUUGCAUAAACAAUGUACCAGUUUAGGGGUUACAUAUAUGGAUUUAAAAUGUGGUGUUUUUGUAUUUAUAUAGAUUAAUGUAUCCAGAAGUGCAGCCCGUCAAGUGGGUCCAGUGUCAGUUCUGUGGCGGUCAGUUGCACAGUGACUGUGCAGGAGUGGAAACAUUGAAAGAAGACACAUUUAGCUGUGGAUGUCACCAACCAGUGCCUUAUCCAUAUAAAAUGUUUAUUUUAUACACACAUUAAACCCAUUUUCUUUGGUUGUAUUAGACUUGCAUUAAACGCAUAAAUAAAUAUGUUUCUGUCUCCA